Molecule: ribosomal RNA, 253 nt
Filed under: uncultured bacterium
Lineage: Bacteria
Description: partial 16S ribosomal RNA
Rfam family: Bacterial small subunit ribosomal RNA
Source: RNAcentral
UACGUAGGGUGCGAGCGUUGUCCGGAAUUAUUGGGCGUAAAGGGCUCGUAGGCGGUUUGUCACGUCGGCUGUGAAAACCCGAGGCUUAACCUCGGGCCUGCAGUCGAUACGGGCAGACUAGAGUUCGGUAGGGGAGACUGGAAUUCCUGGUGUAGCGGUGAAAUGCGCAGAUAUCAGGAGGAACACCGGUGGCGAAGGCGGGUCUCUGGGCCGAUACUGACGCUGAGGAGCGAAAGCGUGGGGAGCGAACAGG